This 57-nucleotide transfer RNA is filed under the name Oxyria digyna. RNAcentral's name for it is "tRNA-Tyr". The record is from RNAcentral. Lineage: Eukaryota; Viridiplantae; Streptophyta; Magnoliopsida; Caryophyllales; Polygonaceae.
AAGAAUUCGCUCAUAGACCGUGAGAUGCAAAUUUUUGUCUUUCCGAAGCGCGCGAUA